GGCUGGUGUGAAGGUAGUGAGUUAUCUCAGCUGAUUGUUCACAGUCAGUUACAAUUGAAGACCUUGUUCUACACGUUCCUCCCAUCUCACUAGUGCGCCUGACUAGUCUUCC
This 112-nucleotide Y RNA is filed under the name Jaculus jaculus (lesser Egyptian jerboa). RNAcentral's name for it is "Y RNA (ENSJJAG00000007516.1)". It matches the Rfam family "Y RNA". Rfam says of the family: Y RNAs are components of the Ro ribonucleoprotein particle (Ro RNP), in association with Ro60 and La proteins. The record is from Rfam by way of RNAcentral. Lineage: Eukaryota; Metazoa; Chordata; Mammalia; Rodentia; Dipodidae.